UACGUAGGGGGCAAGCGUUAUCCGGAUUUACUGGGUGUAAAGGGAGCGUAGGCGGUAAUGCAAGUCAGAAGUGAAAGCCCGGGGCUCAACUCCGGGACUGCUUUUGAAACUGUGUUGCUAGAUUGCAGGAGAGGUAAGUGGAAUUCCUAGUGUAGCGGUGAAAUGCGUAGAUAUUAGGAGGAACACCAGUGGCGAAGGCGGCUUGCUGGACAGUAACUGACGUUGAGGCUCGAAAGCGUGGGGAGCAAACAGG
This 253-nucleotide ribosomal RNA is filed under the name uncultured bacterium. RNAcentral describes it as "partial 16S ribosomal RNA". It matches the Rfam family "Bacterial small subunit ribosomal RNA", at positions 524 to 776 of the family's 1533-position model. The record is from RNAcentral.